UUUGAUAACUAGGACUUUGACAUUUUGAUAGUUUAUGGUAUUAUUUUACAAAGGAUGAGAUGUCCGCACAACCUUUCAUCAGUGAACUUCCUAAGAAGCUAAUUUAAGAAGUAAAAAUGUGACAAGACCUUGGCAAAUAUUGACACUGACUUUGGAAAGCAAAUAUGAGUGCUCAUCUCUGGUUGAACAGAUGAAGUGGACCGUGGCAGCAGCAGUAAUGAGAGAGAAGCACGCGUGACUUUGGGUGGUCACACUGGGUCUAAUUCUGACAUCAUUGCUCACUAACUAGGUUUAAACGCAGAUAUGUCACUGGAGGUGCGCAACCAUCUUGGAAGACAUCAUUCCUGGCACUGUGGAGUUACUGAACCAGCCUUCACAGCUUCCUACCUCUGAUUUCUUGCAGCAUGAUAAAAGUACACCUCUAAUUAAAACAUUCGAGAUAAAACUACGUGCAGUGCUUCUCUACGUGGCCGCAUACUGAAAUCACCUGGUGAGAUUUAAAAAGACU
This 508-nucleotide long non-coding RNA is filed under the name Oryctolagus cuniculus (rabbit). RNAcentral describes it as "lncRNA (ENSOCUG00000039651.1)". The record is from RNAcentral. Lineage: Eukaryota; Metazoa; Chordata; Mammalia; Lagomorpha; Leporidae.